This 550-nucleotide ribosomal RNA is filed under the name Blaps gigas. RNAcentral's name for it is "partial 16S ribosomal RNA". It matches the Rfam family "Bacterial large subunit ribosomal RNA", at positions 1797 to 2619 of the family's 2925-position model. The record is from RNAcentral. Lineage: Eukaryota; Metazoa; Arthropoda; Insecta; Coleoptera; Tenebrionidae.
CGCCUGUUUUAUCAAAAACAUGUCUUUUUGUUUAUGAUUUAAAGUCUGGCCUGCCCAAUGAUGAUUUUUGAAUGGCUGCAGUAUUUUGACUGUACAAAGGUAGCAUAAUCAUUAGUUUCUUAAUUAGGAGCUGGAAUGAAUGGUUUGAUGAAAAAUUAACUGUCUCAAUUUAAUUGUUAUAGAAUUUUAUUUUUGAGUGAAAAAGCUUAAAUUUUUUAGGAAGACGAGAAGACCCUAUAGAGUUUAAUUUACUGGGGAUUGUUGAUUUAAUGGUUUUAGUAUUUUCAAUUUUUAAGUGAAUUUUGUUGGGGUGAUGGGAAAAUUUUUUUAACUUUUUCUAAUUUUUACACUGAUUAGUGAAUUUAUGAUCCUUUUUUAGAUUAUAAGAUUAAAUUACCUUAGGGAUAACAGCGUUAUUUUUUUUGAAAGUUCUUAUUGAUAAAAAAGUUUGCGACCUCGAUGUUGGAUUAAAGUUUAUUUUCGGUGUAGAAGCUGAGAGGAUUAGGUCUGUUCGACCUUUAAAACUUUACAUGAUCUGAGUUCAGACCGG